AUUGAACGCUGGCGGCAUGCCUUACACAUGCAAGUCGAACGGCAGCACGGGGCAACCUGGUGGCGAGUGGCGAACGGGUGAGUAAUGCAUCGGAACGUGCCAUUGAGUGGGGGAUAACGUAGCGAAAGUUGCGCUAAUACCGCAUAUUCUGUGAGCAGGAAAGCAGGGGACCGCAAGGCCUUGCGCUCUUUGAGCGGCCGAUGUCAGAUUAGCUAGUUGGUGAGGUAACGGCUUACCAAGGCGACGAUCUGUAGCGGGUCUGAGAGGAUGAUCCGCCACACUGGAACUGAGACACGGUCCAGACUCCUACGGAGGCAGCAGUGGGGAAUUUUGGACAAUGGGCGCAAGCCUGAUCCAGCCAUGCCGCGUGAGUGAAG
This 377-nucleotide ribosomal RNA is filed under the name uncultured bacterium. RNAcentral describes it as "bacterial SSU rRNA". It matches the Rfam family "Bacterial small subunit ribosomal RNA", at positions 30 to 410 of the family's 1533-position model. The record is from RNAcentral.